Molecule: ribosomal RNA, 460 nt
Filed under: uncultured bacterium
Lineage: Bacteria
Description: partial 16S ribosomal RNA
Rfam family: Bacterial small subunit ribosomal RNA
Source: RNAcentral
CCUACGGGUGGCAGCAGUGAGGAAUAUUGGUCAAUGGACGAGAGUCUGAACCAGCCAAGUAGCGUGAAGGAUGACUGCCCUAUGGGUUGUAAACUUCUUUUAUAUGGGAAUAAAACGUUCCACGUGUGGGAUUUUGUAUGUACCAUAUGAAUAAGGAUCGGCUAACUCCGUGCCAGCAGCCGCGGUAAUACGGAGGAUCCGAGCGUUAUCCGGAUUUAUUGGGUUUAAAGGGAGCGUAGGUGGAGUGUUAAGUCAGUUGUGAAAGUUUGCGGCUCAACCGUAAAAUUGCAGUUGAAACUGGCAGUCUUGAGUACAGUAGAGGUGGGCGGAAUUCGUGGUGGAGCGGUGAAAUGCUUAGAUAUCACGAAGAACUCCGAUUGCGAAGGCAGUUCACUGGACUGCAACUGACACUGAGGCUCGAAAGUGUGGGUAUCAAACAGGAUUAGAUACCCCAGUAGUC